RNAcentral lists this unclassified non-coding RNA (272 nucleotides) under plant metagenome. Its description in RNAcentral is "partial contains small subunit ribosomal RNA, internal transcribed spacer 1, and 5.8S ribosomal RNA". The record is from RNAcentral.
UUUCCGUAGGUGAACCUGCGGAAGGAUCAUUAAUGAGUUGGCAUGGGGUUCGAUGCUGGCAGCCAGUUUUUGGAUGCAUGUGCUUGCCCUAACAAUCAUCUUCUUCCAAACACCUGUGCACAUUUUUGAGUGAGUCUUGAGUUGGUUGCCGCUCUUGUGUGAUUUUCUCACAUUCCCUUAACUCAUUAUACGCUAUUAACAAUGUUGAACGUGCUUUGUGCCGCAAGGCCAUUAAUAUAAUACAACUUUUAACAACGGAUCUCUUGGCUCUC